This 1835-nucleotide ribosomal RNA is filed under the name marine sediment metagenome. RNAcentral's name for it is "bacterial LSU rRNA". It matches the Rfam family "Bacterial large subunit ribosomal RNA", at positions 1882 to 2925 of the family's 2925-position model. The record is from RNAcentral.
UGAUGGGGUUAGUCUUCGGACGAAGCUCUUGAUCGAAGCCCCGGUAAACGGCGGCCGUAACUAUAGAUUGUUGUAGUUACGCAAAUAAACUUGGCUAUAUGCUGGAAACUCCGGUGUAUCCGCUGGUACUCGUUCAGACAUGCUGAACAGUGACAAUCCAAGCGGUGCGGACAAUCAGCAGGAAAGGCUUCUGGUAUGACUUCACUGAACGUAAAGAAGAUCCCUGAACGUAUCGGCUAUUACCUUGCGGGGUUUACCGAUGGGGAAGGAAGCUUCAAUCUGUCCUUUCGUAAACGCAAAGACUAUUCCAUGCCUUGGAAAGUCUCGUUGUGUUUCAAUGUUUCGCAAAAGGACAAGGUCAUUUUGACUUUGUACAAGCGGCACUUGAAAUGUGGCACGUUGCGUUCAAGAGAAGAUGGCGUUUGGUAUUACGAAGUCAAUAAUUUUACCGCGAUUCAAGAUAACGUUAUUCCUUUCUUCAAGAGAUUUGGUUUUCUGUCGGCAAAAAAGAAACGUGAUUUUGUGAAGUUCAUGCAAAUUGCGGAGUUGAUUGCAGAUGGCAAACAUCUUGAGAAGGUUGGAAUAAAGAGAAUUCUUGAUAUCCGGAAAACGAUGAACGACGGUGGAGUCGGAAGAAGAAAGUAUUCCGAUACCGAAAUUCUCCGUUUGGUAAAUACAGAAGAAUCCUCAGAGACUACACGCCAAGCACCUGCUAAUCGCAUAACCGAUGCCGUCUGAUUAGUAGCUGAAGAUAUAGUCCGAUCUGCAUAGCGAUAUGCAGGAUUCAAAAGAGAAACUUGCUACCGUUUGAAUCUAACCGGUUGAUCUGACCGGGGAUAACAAAGGAUGAACGGUCCUAAGGUAGCGAAAUUCCUUGUCGGGUAAGUUCCGACCUGCACGAAUGGCGUAACGAUGGCCACACUGUCUCCACCAGAGACUCAGUGAAAUUGAAAUUGCUGUGAAGAUGCAGUGUUCCCGUGGCAAGACGGAAAGACCCCGUGAACCUUUACUACAGCUUUACACUGAAUUUUGAACAUGCUUGUGUAGGAUAGGUGGGAGGCUUUGAAGCGAGGACGUCAGUUUUCGUGGAGCCAACCUUGAAAUACCACCCUGGUCUGUUUGAGGUUCUAACCCAGGCCCGUUAUCCGGGUCGGGGACAGUGUAUGGUGGGUAGUUUGACUGGGGCGGUCUCCUCCCAAAGAGUAACGGAGGAGCACGAAGGUACCCUCAGCGCGGUCGGAAAUCGCGCAUUGAGUGCAAAGGCAUAAGGGUGCUUGACUGCGAGACGUACAAGUCGAGCAGGUGCGAAAGCAGGUCUUAGUGAUCCGGUGGUUCUGUAUGGAAGGGCCAUCGCUCAACGGAUAAAAGGUACUCCGGGGAUAACAGGCUGAUACCGCCCAAGAGUUCAUAUCGACGGCGGUGUUUGGCACCUCGAUGUCGGGCUCAUCACAUCCUGGGGCUGUAGCCGGUCCCAAGGGUAUGGCUGUUCGCCAUUUAAAGUGGUACGCGAGCUGGGUUUAGAACGUCGUGAGACAGUUCGGUCCCUAUCUGCCAUGGGCGUUGGAGAUUUGAGAGGAGCUGCUCCUAGUACGAGAGGACCGGAGUGGACGUACCUCUGGUGUUCCGGUUGUCACGCCAGUGGCAUUGCCGGGUAGCUAUGUACGGAAGGGAUAACCGCUGAAAGCAUCUAAGCGGGAAGCCCCCCUCGAGAUGAGAUCUCCCUGGGUCCGCGAGGCCCCUGAAGGUCCGUUGAAGACUACGACGUUGAUAGGCUGGGUGUGGAAGCGCAGUAAUGCGUGUAGCUAACCAGUACUAAUUGACCGUGAGGCUUGAUC